AACGAACGCUGGCGGCAGGCUUAACACAUGCAAGUCGAGCGCCCCGCAAGGGGAGCGGCAGACGGGUGAGUAACGCGUGGGAACGUACCCUUAUCUUUGGGAUAGCUCCGGGAAACUGGAAUCAAUACCGAACGUGCCCUUUGGGGGAAAGAUAUCUCGGAUAAGGAUCGGCCCGCGUUGGAGUAGCUGUUUGGUGGGGUAAAGGCCUACCAAGGCGACGAUUCAUAGCUGGUCUGAGAGGAUGAUCAGUCACAUUGGGACUGAGACACGGCCCAAACUCCUACGGGAGGCAGCAGUAGGGAAUAUUGGACGAUGAGCGCAAACCUAAUCCAGCCAUGCCGCGUGUGUGAUGAAGGCCUUAGGGUUGUAAAGCUCUUUCACCGGAGAAGAUAAUGACGGUAUCCGGAGAAGAAGCCCCGGCUAACUUCGUG
This 431-nucleotide ribosomal RNA is filed under the name uncultured bacterium. RNAcentral's name for it is "partial 16S ribosomal RNA". It matches the Rfam family "Bacterial small subunit ribosomal RNA", at positions 29 to 507 of the family's 1533-position model. The record is from RNAcentral.